This 374-nucleotide ribosomal RNA is filed under the name uncultured organism. RNAcentral describes it as "bacterial SSU rRNA". It matches the Rfam family "Bacterial small subunit ribosomal RNA", at positions 526 to 897 of the family's 1533-position model. The record is from RNAcentral.
CGUAGGGUGCGAGCGUUAAUCGGAAUUACUGGGCGUAAAGUGUGCGCAGGCGGCAGAGCAAGUCGAGUGUGAAAGCCCCGGGCUUAACUUGGGAAUUGCGCUCGAAACUACUUUGCUGGAGUGUGGCAGAGGAAGGUGGAAUUCCGCGUGUAGCGGUGAAAUGCGUAGAGAUGUGGAGGAACACCAAUGGCGAAGGCAGCCUUCUGGGCCAACACUGACGCUCAUGCACGAAAGCGUGGGGAGCAAAACAGGAUUAGAUACCCUGGUAGUCCACGCCCUAAACGAUGACGACUAGUGUUGGAGGAGUUAAAUCCUUUAGUAACGCAGCUAAACGCGCGAAAGUCGUCCGCCUGGGGAUACGGUCGCAAGAUUAA